This 253-nucleotide ribosomal RNA is filed under the name uncultured bacterium. RNAcentral's name for it is "partial 16S ribosomal RNA". It matches the Rfam family "Bacterial small subunit ribosomal RNA", at positions 524 to 776 of the family's 1533-position model. The record is from RNAcentral.
UACGUAGGGUCCAAGCGUUAUCCGGAUUUAUUGGGCGUAAAGCACAUGUAGGUGGAGUGGUAAGUCUUCUCUUAAAGCUCUGAGCUCAACUCAGAAUCUGGAGGAGAUACUAUCACUCUAGUGGUCAGCAGGGGCAAACGGAAUUCCCGGUGUAGGAGUGAAAUCCGUUGAUAUCGGGAGGAACACCAAUGGCGAAGGCAGUUUGCUAGGCUGAUUCAGACACUGAGAUGUGAAAGCGUGGGGAGCGAACGGG